This 492-nucleotide ribosomal RNA is filed under the name uncultured bacterium. RNAcentral's name for it is "partial 16S ribosomal RNA". It matches the Rfam family "Bacterial small subunit ribosomal RNA", at positions 30 to 523 of the family's 1533-position model. The record is from RNAcentral.
AUUGAACGCUGGCGGCAUGCUUUACACAUGCAAGUCGAACGGUAACAGGUUAAGCUGACGAGUGGCGAACGGGUGAGUAAUGCAUCGGAACGUGCCCGGUCGUGGGGGAUAACGCAGCGAAAGCUGCGCUAAUACCGCAUACGAUCUGAGGAUGAAAGCGGGGACCGUAAGGCCUCGCGCGAUCGGAGCGACCGAUGUCAGAUUAGGUAGUUGGUGGGGUAAAGGCUCACCAAGCCAACGAUCUGUAGCUGGUCUGAGAGGACGACCAGCCACACUGGGACUGAGACACGGCCCAGACUCCUACGGGAGGCAGCAGUGGGGAAUUUUGGACAAUGGGCGAAAGCCUGAUCCAGCAAUGCCGCGUGCAGGAAGAAGGCCUUCGGGUUGUAAACUGCUUUUGUACGGAGCGAAAAGGUCUCCUCUAAUACAGGGGGCUCAUGACGGUACCGUAAGAAUAAGCACCGGCUAACUACGUGCCAGCCGCCGCGGUAA